RNAcentral lists this ribosomal RNA (492 nucleotides) under uncultured bacterium. Its description in RNAcentral is "partial 16S ribosomal RNA". It matches the Rfam family "Bacterial small subunit ribosomal RNA", at positions 29 to 507 of the family's 1533-position model. The record is from RNAcentral.
AGUGAACGCUGGCGGUAGGCCUAACACAUGCAAGUCGAACGGCAGCACAGUAAAAGUUUGCUCUUACGUGUGGCGAGUGGGGGACGGGAGAGGUAUACAGCGGACUCUCCUUUUUCGUGGGGGAUCACGUAGGGAAACUUACGCUUAUACCGCAUACGACCUACGGGUGAAAGCAGGGGAUCUUCGGACCUUGCGCGCUUGAAUGCGCCGAUGUGGGUUUAGCUAGUAGGUGGGGUAAAGGCCCACCAAGGCGACGCUCCGGCGCUGGUCUGAGAGGAUGACCAGCCACACUGGAACUGAGACACGGUCCAGGCUCCUGAGGGAGGCAGCAGUGGGGAAUAUUGCACAAUGGGCGCAAGCCUGAUGCAGCCAUGCCGCGUGUAUGAAGAAGGCCUUCGGGUUGUAAAGUACUUUCAGCGGGGAGGAAGGGAGUAAAGUUAAUACCUUUACUCAUUGACGUUACCCGCAGAAGAAGCACCGGCUAACUCCGUG